UCGCCGAUUUCAAAAACGUUGGAACCAAUCAUGGCUUGGAUCAUCACGUGAUUGGGUCUCGUCGACCAAUCAGUACCACCAAUCUUGUGUCACUAAUUUUAUCUUAUGUUUCUUCAUUAUGAUUGCUCUUUUUUUUUAUUCUGACACGUUGGUCGGGAAAACGGGGAUGAUGCGCAUUUGAAUCAGGGGCAUUGAGGAGAUGGCAGCGUUCAGCGGUCGAUGCAGGUUAGGAUAGCUACGUUAGAAGUCAGAAUUUUUGAAACUAUUUGUAUAUAAUGUGUCUAUUUAUGCAUGAGCAGAAUGCAGUGCUAGGUUUCAUUUUUCUUUAGUUAAAUUCGUUCUAUGUUGUAAAUUUGUUUGUUUUAUUGUAUUUAUGCAAAUGUUUAUUAGAGUUAUACGUAUGAUCUACUGUCAGACUGUAGUACUAUUUGCGACGACAGGAAUGGAAGCGUAACUUUGACUUGCCAAAAUAAUCGUAUUCUAAUUAGGUAUAGCACCUGCUGUAAUUCUACGCUUCAUUUUGACAGGGGCGAAUCGCCCUAUACAUUAGACGAUAUUGGGGUAUCAUUUUGUAGAGUGUAUUCUAUUUUGUGUAUGCAUUUGAUAUUUCAGUAUCGUUUGUUUUUGAAAUUCGGAAGGAGUGCACAAUCAUUGUGGGAUUCAUUUGCAUGCUCGUUUAAAGUGAUCAAUCAGCUUCUGAAUUGGCGAAGACAGAUCGUAGCUGGAGUCGGGAGUUGACUAUAUGUAAAAGAUGAUCAGGUUCAUCGCCUCACGCCUCAGUUUGCAGGAAUCAGAUACAGGUGAGUUAAAAUUCGUCAAGAACAGAAUAAUAAUGCAAUAUGGUGGUAGGUACGUUCCUUACGUUCGUGAUAGCUCCUGGACCGCUUGAGGUAACUAUUUAUUUAAAAUGUUAUGGGCGUCUUAAAAAUUCUCUUGUCCGAAGUCUUCCCGCUCGUCUCACAAAGUAGUGAUACAUGAGAUUUUGGGGAAGCGUUACUAUUAUUAAAUAUACAUCCAGAUAAUUACACAAGGCUUCUGCUAUAGCAAAAAAUUGUUAACUGUAGCUGGUGGUCGUUAUUAAUGUGGAAGUCUUGUUUUUUGUAUAUUUGUGCGACACUUUCGCGAAAUAAAAGUAUAUUUUUAACACGAGUCGAUAUAUUUAUGGCAGGUGAAUUGAACAAGAAAUGACAGACUGAUGGAGUCAUCCAUAUGUAACACUUACUGUCGAUCCAAGUUGUUGGCAGUACUGAAUACAAACGCCGGGGUAUAGUCUACAAGGUGACUACUUAUAACAAAAGUUCACAAGCCAUUUUCAGGACGCCCCAAAGACAAUUCCAAGUGUCCAGUGCGACCUCAGAUUUUCAGUCGGGGAAACUCGUACGAUUUUGCAGCAUUGAAGAAAACUAUUUCACGGUUCUCCAACCGUGCCCAAGAAAGCACGUGAAGAGGAUUUGCACUGAUGACUGUUCCUGCAUUCUAGUUUGUACCCUUUUUGUAAAUAAUUCACGUGUCUCAUGAUAUCUUUCUUCAGUUAGUUUUGUCAUGUCUUAUAAACAUCGUAAUGAAUAAUAUUAAUUGUUUCGAACGUAAUGAAAGAAACUUUGUUAUUACGCAUUAUUACACAUUUUCUUCAAAUCGAUCACCUUGUGUCUAUGAAAUCUAGUCACGGUACUCCAUUUGCAUAGACUAUUUAUUGUUCCCUGCAUUCAUAUCCAAAUGCCUGGCUUUUUUUCCUUAUUUGUGUAAUGAUAUAAACAUGAAUACUAUAAUCUUGAUAUGCUGGGUAAACUUCUUAACGAAUAAUAUAAGUUAUUUCGAACUUGAUU
Molecule: non-coding RNA, 1826 nt
Organism: Styela clava
Lineage: Eukaryota; Metazoa; Chordata; Ascidiacea; Stolidobranchia; Styelidae
Source: RefSeq, a predicted model, not a curated record